Molecule: ribosomal RNA, 524 nt
Filed under: uncultured bacterium
Lineage: Bacteria
Description: bacterial SSU rRNA
Rfam family: Bacterial small subunit ribosomal RNA
Source: RNAcentral
UGGGGAAUAUUGGACAAUGGACCAAGAGUCUGAUCCAGCAAUUCUGUGUGCACGAUGAAGUUUUUCGGAAUGUAAAGUGCUUUCAGUUGGGAAGAAAAAAAUGACGGUACCAACAGAAGAAGUGACGGCUAAAUACGUGCCAGCAGCCGCGGUAAUACGUAUGUCACAAGCGUUAUCCGGAUUUAUUGGACGUAAAGCGCGUCUAGGUGGUUAUAUAAGUCUGAUGUGAAAAUGCAGGGCUCAACUCUGUAUUGCGUUGGAAACUGUGUAACUAGAGUACUGGAGAGGUAAGCGGAACUACAAGUGUAGAGGUGAAAUUCGUAGAUAUUUGUAGGAAUGCCGAUGGGGAAGCCAGCUUACUGGACAGAUACUGACGCUGAAGCGCGAAAGCGUGGGUAGCAAACAGGAUUAGAUACCCUGGUAGUCCACGCCGUAAACGAUGAUUACUAGGUGUUGGGGGUCGAACCUCAGCGCCCAAGCAAACGCGAUAAGUAAUCCGCCUGGGGAGUACGUACGCAAGUAUG